Molecule: non-coding RNA, 621 nt
Organism: Coffea arabica (coffee)
Lineage: Eukaryota; Viridiplantae; Streptophyta; Magnoliopsida; Gentianales; Rubiaceae
Source: RefSeq, a predicted model, not a curated record
GGAAAUCCUGAUGGGGAAGACCAUCACCCUUGAGGUGGAGUCUUCUGACACCAUCGACAAUGUCAAGGCCAAAAUCCAGGACAAGGAGGGGCAUCCCCCCGAAACCAAUAGCACCAUAUCUUCAUCGGCAAGCAGCUGGAGGACGGCCGUACCCUAGCCGACUACAACAGCCGAAAGGAGCCAGAAGGAGUCCACCAUCCACUUCUUCCUCCACCUCCGUGGUGACGCAACACCAAGCCCAAGAAAAAGAAGGCAAGUUUACCAGAAGGCUGGCGGUGAUUGAGGGAACUCUAGACUAAUUGUGCAUUCAACGCUGAAGGGGAUCGAUGUGCUCUCCACCAACUCUCAGCAAUUGAAGUUGUUGACAUAGGCUUAGGGUCUUCCUCGGAUAUUCUCAUUGAGUUGUAUUUUUCACUUUGAGACUUGUAUUGCUUGUUCAAACUCUUUUGGCCUCUAAUCCACAGCUACUAAUUGAUUGAAGAACAAUGAAGACAAAGUUGUGUUUUGCUCUUGAAGUGUUUCGGCAGUAGCUGCUAGCUAAGUUUAGGACUUAGAUUUAUUUUUGUAAAGCUGUAGCAGGAUGUUGAACUUAAGUAUGAUAUUUUGGCAUUUCGAAUGUAA